CUACGUGCCAGCAGCCGCGGUAAUACGUAGGUGGCAAGCGUUGUCCGGAUUUAUUGGGCGUAAAGCGAGCGCAGGCGGUGAUUUAAGUCUGAUGUGGAAGCCCCCAGCUCAACUGGGGAGGGUCAUUGGAAACUGGAUCACUUGAGUGCAGAAGAGGAGAGUGGAAUUCCAUGUGUAGCGGUGAAAUGCGUAGAUAUAUGGAGGAACACCAGUGGCGAAGGCGGCUCUCUGGUCUGUAACUGACGCUGAGGCUCGAAAGCGUGGGUAGCAAACAGGAUUAGAUACCCUGGUAGUCCACGCCGUAAACGAUGAGUGCUAAGUGUUGGAGGGUUUCCGCCCUUCAGUGCUGCAGUUAACGCAUUAAGCACUCCGCCUGGGGAGUACGACCGCAAGGUUGAAACUCAAAGGAAUUGACGGGGGCCCGCACAAGCGGUGGAGCAUGUGGUUUAAUUCGAAGCAACGCGAAGAACCUUACCAGGUCUUGACAUCCUUUGACCGCCCUAGAGAUAGGGUUUCCCCUUCGGGGGCAAAGUGACAGGUGGUGCAUGGUUGUCGUCAGCUCGUGUCGUGAGAUGUUGGGUUAAGUCCCGUAACGAGCGCAACCCUUAUUGUUAGUUGCCAGCAUUGAGUUGGGCACUCUAGCAAGACUGCCGGUGACAAACCGGAGGAAGGCGGGGAUGACGUCAAAUCAUCAUGCCCCUUAUGACCUGGGCUACACACGUGCUACAAUGGGAAGUACAACGAGCAAGCCAAGCCGCGAGGCCUAGCGAAUCUCUGAAAGCUUCUCUCAGUUCGGAUUGCAGGCUGCAACUCGCCUGCAUGAAGCCGGAAUCGCUAGUAAUCGCGGAUCAGCAUGCCGCGGUGAAUCCGUUCCCGGGCCUUGUACACACCGCCCGUCACACCACGAGAGUUUGUAACACCCAAAGUCGGUGCGGCAACCCUUCGGGGAGCCAGCCGCCUAAGGUGGGACGAAU
Molecule: ribosomal RNA, 974 nt
Filed under: uncultured bacterium
Lineage: Bacteria
Description: bacterial SSU rRNA
Rfam family: Bacterial small subunit ribosomal RNA
Source: RNAcentral